This 239-nucleotide unclassified non-coding RNA is filed under the name uncultured fungus. RNAcentral's name for it is "sequence contains ITS1". The stretch from base 1 to 96 matches the Rfam family "5.8S ribosomal RNA", at positions 50 to 154 of the family's 154-position model. Lineage: Eukaryota; Fungi. The record is from RNAcentral.
GAAAUGCGAUACGCAGUGCGAAUUGCAGAACCGCGAGUCAUCAGAUCUUCGAACGCAUCGGCGCCAGCAAUUCCUGGCAUGUUCGCUUCAGCGUGUCCGGUCAUCAGAACGAUGUGAUGGAGGCAUCCUUCACAGAGAAAGCUGACCGUGGGAGUCGCCGAGUGGUCACGGGAGUGACGGCGAUUCCAAAGCGGUGGACGAGAGCACCUGAGUCGAGCAAGAUUACCCGCUGAACUUAA